Molecule: ribosomal RNA, 1549 nt
Filed under: Staphylococcus haemolyticus
Lineage: Bacteria; Bacillati; Bacillota; Bacilli; Caryophanales; Staphylococcaceae
Description: bacterial SSU rRNA
Rfam family: Bacterial small subunit ribosomal RNA
Source: RNAcentral
UAUGGAGAGUUUGAUCCUGGCUCAGGAUGAACGCUGGCGGCGUGCCUAAUACAUGCAAGUCGAGCGAACAGACAAGGAGCUUGCUCCUUUGACGUUAGCGGCGGACGGGUGAGUAACACGUGGGUAACCUACCUAUAAGACUGGGAUAACUUCGGGAAACCGGAGCUAAUACCGGAUAAUAUUUCGAACCGCAUGGUUCGAUAGUGAAAGAUGGUUUUGCUAUCACUUAUAGAUGGACCCGCGCCGUAUUAGCUAGUUGGUAAGGUAACGGCUUACCAAGGCGACGAUACGUAGCCGACCUGAGAGGGUGAUCGGCCACACUGGAACUGAGACACGGUCCAGACUCCUACGGGAGGCAGCAGUAGGGAAUCUUCCGCAAUGGGCGAAAGCCUGACGGAGCAACGCCGCGUGAGUGAUGAAGGUCUUCGGAUCGUAAAACUCUGUUAUUAGGGAAGAACAUACGUGUAAGUAACUAUGCACGUCUUGACGGUACCUAAUCAGAAAGCCACGGCUAACUACGUGCCAGCAGCCGCGGUAAUACGUAGGUGGCAAGCGUUAUCCGGAAUUAUUGGGCGUAAAGCGCGCGUAGGCGGUUUUUUAAGUCUGAUGUGAAAGCCCACGGCUCAACCGUGGAGGGUCAUUGGAAACUGUAAAACUUGAGUGCAGAAGAGGAAAGUGGAAUUCCAUGUGUAGCGGUGAAAUGCGCAGAGAUAUGGAGGAACACCAGUGGCGAAGGCGACUUUCUGGUCUGUAACUGACGCUGAUGUGCGAAAGCGUGGGGAUCAAACAGGAUUAGAUACCCUGGUAGUCCACGCCGUAAACGAUGAGUGCUAAGUGUUAGGGGGUUUCCGCCCCUUAGUGCUGCAGCUAACGCAUUAAGCACUCCGCCUGGGGAGUACGACCGCAAGGUUGAAACUCAAAGGAAUUGACGGGGACCCGCACAAGCGGUGGAGCAUGUGGUUUAAUUCGAAGCAACGCGAAGAACCUUACCAAAUCUUGACAUCCUUUGACAACUCUAGAGAUAGAGCCUUCCCCUUCGGGGGACAAAGUGACAGGUGGUGCAUGGUUGUCGUCAGCUCGUGUCGUGAGAUGUUGGGUUAAGUCCCGCAACGAGCGCAACCCUUAAGCUUAGUUGCCAUCAUUAAGUUGGGCACUCUAAGUUGACUGCCGGUGACAAACCGGAGGAAGGUGGGGAUGACGUCAAAUCAUCAUGCCCCUUAUGAUUUGGGCUACACACGUGCUACAAUGGACAAUACAAAGGGCAGCGAAACCGCGAGGUCAAGCAAAUCCCAUAAAGUUGUUCUCAGUUCGGAUUGUAGUCUGCAACUCGACUACAUGAAGCUGGAAUCGCUAGUAAUCGUAGAUCAGCAUGCUACGGUGAAUACGUUCCCGGGUCUUGUACACACCGCCCGUCACACCACGAGAGUUUGUAACACCCGAAGCCGGUGGAGUAACCAUUUGGAGCUAGCCGUCGAAGGUGGGACAAAUGAUUGGGGUGAAGUCGUAACAAGGUAGCCGUAUCGGAAGGUGCGGCUGGAUCACCUCCUUU